This 312-nucleotide long non-coding RNA is filed under the name Solanum tuberosum (potato). Its description in RNAcentral is "long non-coding RNA (STUB_LNC003148)". Lineage: Eukaryota; Viridiplantae; Streptophyta; Magnoliopsida; Solanales; Solanaceae. The record is from RNAcentral.
UGUUCUCUGACCAGGUUUGACAAUACUGGCUGAGUGGGAUAAAGAUAGUUCAUAUUCUGUUAUGUUAUAUUUAGUGGUUAUAAUUGUUUACUUUGUCUUAGCAUCAGGUACAGGGCUCGCCUGAUAAGUCAACCCAGGUCACACCUUACAGUUUUUGGGUUUUGACAUGUCGACUGCAAGAAUGAGUAGACGAGAGAACUAGAAGAUAAGCCCGAAAGGACUAACAAAAAGAAGAAGACGACACACCAGAAGAACGUAAUUUUUAAAAAGAAAAAUAAAAGAUUAGUAACAUAACAAGAGCAAACAAGCCAC